This 478-nucleotide ribosomal RNA is filed under the name uncultured bacterium. RNAcentral's name for it is "partial 16S ribosomal RNA". It matches the Rfam family "Bacterial small subunit ribosomal RNA", at positions 28 to 507 of the family's 1533-position model. The record is from RNAcentral.
GACGAACGCUGGCGGCGUGCUUAACACAUGCAAGUCGAACGUGAUUUUUGUGGAAAUUCUUUCGGGAAUGGAAAUGAAAUGAAAGUGGCGAACGGGUGAGUAACACGUGAGCAACCUACCUUACACAGGGGGAUAGCCGUUGGAAACGACGAUUAAUACCGCAUGAGACCACAGAAUCGCAUGAUAUAGGGGUCAAAGAUUUAUCGGUGUAAGAAGGGCUCGCGUCUGAUUAGCUAGUUGGAAGGGUAAAGGCCUACCAAGGCGACGAUCAGUAGCCGGUCUGAGAGGAUGAACGGCCACAUUGGAACUGAGACACGGUCCAAACUCCUACGGGAGGCAGCAGUGGGGAAUAUUGCACAAUGGGGGGAACCCUGAUGCAGCGACGCCGCGUGAGCGAAGAAGGUUUUCGAAUCGUAAAGCUCUGUCCUAUGAGAAGAUAAUGACGAUAUCAUAGGAGGAAGCCCCGGCUAAAUACGUG